AACUGCUUCCGCCUACUCACUAGAUCCAGAGGGAAGGUCACGGCAAACUAAAGGGGCAACAUAAUAUAAACCAAGCUGUCCAUUUACUAUUUUGAUAUGCUUAAUUUUAAAUCUUAUGCUUCAAAAACAAACCGACUUAUGCACAGAGCACUAAACAAGAAUCAACCACGUCAGUUUCAAAUUAGAAGAGCAAAAUGCAAUCAUGCCUUGCUAGUUCUUUGCAUCAUCACUAAGUUUCCACAAGAACCAGUAUAUUCUAAUACACAUAUUAAUAGACAUGACGAAGUCCUCAAAGAGACAAAGAUGUACUACUGAGGCUUCAAGGAUUGACAAAUCCAACAAAAGUAAAAGAGAGCCCAAGUGAGAAGCAUACCUCAGAUGGGGCACCUCUAACACCUGAAAAUGAUAUUCUAGUAUAUGUAUAUGAUUAUUAGUGUCAAACUCCACUAUAACCCACCACAAUGCUCGGGAAGACUGCUACUAAAACCAAUUUUAUGCAACAUUCUUAUAAGUUGACAU
Cucurbita maxima (winter squash) is the source of this 519-nucleotide long non-coding RNA. RefSeq lists it as uncharacterized. The transcript has 2 exons. The record is from RefSeq and is a predicted model, not a curated record. NCBI's taxonomy places the organism in Eukaryota, Viridiplantae, Streptophyta, Magnoliopsida, Cucurbitales, Cucurbitaceae.